RNAcentral lists this ribosomal RNA (497 nucleotides) under uncultured bacterium. RNAcentral's name for it is "partial 16S ribosomal RNA". It matches the Rfam family "Bacterial small subunit ribosomal RNA", at positions 28 to 507 of the family's 1533-position model. The record is from RNAcentral.
GAUGAACGCUGGCGGCGUGCCUAAUACAUGCAAGUCGAGCGAACAGACGAGGAGCUUGCUCCUCUGACGUUAGCGGCGGACGGGUGAGUAACACGUGGAUAACCUACCUAUAAGACUGGGAUAACUUUGGGAAACCGGAGCUAAUACCGGAUAAUAUAUUGAACCGCAUGGUUCAAUAGUGAAAGACGGUUUUGCUGUCACUUAUAGAUGGAUCCGCGCCGCAUCAGCUAGUUGGUAAGGUAACGGCUUACCAAGGCGACGAUGCGUAGCCGACCUGAGAGGGUGAUCGGCCACACUGGAACUGAGACACGUUCCAGACUCCUACGGGAGGCAGCAGUAGGGAAUCUUCCGCAAUGGGCAAAAGCCUGACGGAGCAACGCCGCGUGAGUGAUGAAGGUCUUCGGAUCGUAAAACUCUGUUAUUAGGGAAGAACAAAUGUGUAAGUAACUAUGCACGUCUUGACGGUACCUAAUCAGAAAGCCACGGCUAACUACGUG